This 269-nucleotide long non-coding RNA is filed under the name Setaria viridis. RNAcentral's name for it is "long non-coding RNA (SVIR_LNC003490)". The record is from RNAcentral. Lineage: Eukaryota; Viridiplantae; Streptophyta; Magnoliopsida; Poales; Poaceae.
UCGGCCAUUCGAUCGGUAAAGACUCACCUCAACUUACAUGUGGGACCCGGUCGUGGUAAAGACUUCCUAUUUGAUCGGUAAUAGGUUCGACCCACGGGAGGAGCACGUCUUUCAUUUUAUUUUACCACCCUAUUUAUCAGCUUAAACUUACAUGUGGGAUCCUGGUUGAUUUAUGAUGUUUUCACGGAGCUUAUAUUGUCACAAAACCAUCAUGUAACAGCAAGUGAUGACUUAUUUUUGGCUACAGUGGCAACUUUUAUGACGUUCCG